Molecule: unclassified non-coding RNA, 193 nt
Filed under: Inocybe relicina
Lineage: Eukaryota; Fungi; Basidiomycota; Agaricomycetes; Agaricales; Inocybaceae
Description: partial internal transcribed spacer 2
Source: RNAcentral
AGUUCUCAAUCACAUCAGUGUUGAUGUGGCUUGGAUAAUGGAGGUUUGCAGGUUUUAUUAAAGUCUGCUCCUCUGAAAUUUAUUAGUGGUAUCUGAGCAGGAGCUACUACAGAUGUGAUAAAUAUCUACGUCUCUGGCAACUGCAUUGACAGACUACACCGCUCCUAACAAUGUGUAUGAACACGUUUGACAU